This 425-nucleotide ribosomal RNA is filed under the name uncultured bacterium. RNAcentral describes it as "bacterial SSU rRNA". It matches the Rfam family "Bacterial small subunit ribosomal RNA", at positions 355 to 772 of the family's 1533-position model. The record is from RNAcentral.
UGGGGAAUAUUGGACAAUGGGCGAAAGCCUGAUCCAGCGACGCCGCGUGGGUGAAGAAGGCCUGCGGGUUGUAAAGCCCUUUCGGUUGGGAAGAAAAGCUGCGACCUAAUACGUCGCGGCCUUGACGUAACCAACUAAAGAAGCACCGGCUAACUCUGUGCCCGCAGCCGCGGUAAUACAGAGGGUGCGAGCGUUGUCCGGAAUCACUGGGCGUAAAGGGCGCGUAGGUGGCUGUGUAAGUCGGGGGUGAAAUGCUGCGGCUCAACCGCAGCGCUGCCUCCGAGACUGCACGGCUUGAGCACGGUAGAGGCCGAUGGAAUUCCCGGUGUAGCGGUGGAAUGCGUAGAGAUCGGGAAGAACACCGAUGGCGAAGGCAGUCGGCUGGGCCGUUGCUGACACUGAGGCGCGACAGCGUGGGGAGCAAA